UACGGAGGAUGCAAGCGUUAUCCGGAAUGAUUGGGCGUAAAGCGUCCGCAGGUGGCUAUGUAAGUCUGCUGUUAAAGCGUGAGGCUCAACCUCAUAAGAGCAGUGGAAACUACAUGGCUAGAGUGCGUUCGGGGCAGAGGGAAUUCCUGGUGUAGCGGUGAAAUGCGUAGAGAUCAGGAAGAACACCGAUGGCGAAAGCGCUCUGCUAGGCCGCAACUGACGCUGAGGGACGAAAGCUAGGGGAGCGAAUGGG
Molecule: ribosomal RNA, 253 nt
Filed under: uncultured bacterium
Lineage: Bacteria
Description: partial 16S ribosomal RNA
Rfam family: Bacterial small subunit ribosomal RNA
Source: RNAcentral